GGCUGGUUAGCUCAGUCAGCUGAGCAUGGUGCUGACAACACCAAGGUCCUGGGUUCGAUUCCCGUUCGGUCC
Molecule: transfer RNA, 72 nt
Filed under: Apaloderma vittatum (bar-tailed trogon)
Lineage: Eukaryota; Metazoa; Chordata; Aves; Trogoniformes; Trogonidae
Rfam family: tRNA
About the family: Transfer RNA (tRNA) molecules are approximately 80 nucleotides in length.
Source: Rfam by way of RNAcentral